Molecule: unclassified non-coding RNA, 613 nt
Filed under: Hevea brasiliensis (rubber tree)
Lineage: Eukaryota; Viridiplantae; Streptophyta; Magnoliopsida; Malpighiales; Euphorbiaceae
Source: RNAcentral
CUAAUUCAACACCCAAGAAAUAUCUAGCAUAACCCAUGUCUUUUAUAGUGAAUGUUUGAUGAAGAAAUUGCUUGACCCGAAUGAUUUCAGCUUCAUUUGCACCAGUUAUGAGAAUAUUGUCGACGUAGACAAGCAAAGCAAGAAAAUUAACAUUAGAGCCUUUGACAAAGAGACAAUUAUCAUGUGCCGAUUGUGUAAAACCAUACUGAUGCAAUUUUGAUGCGAGUUCCUUAUUCCAUUGGCGUCCAGCCUAUUUUAAUCCAUACAAGGAUUUAACCAAACGACAAACUUGACCAAGCUUGGCACGAGUAUAACCAUCUGGAGGCUUCAUGUAGAGUUCUUCAUCGAUAUAACUGUGUAGGUAUGCAUUAUUGAUAUCAAGCUGGUGAAUGGCCCAAGCUUGUGCUGCAACAAUUGCUAGGAAAACCUGAACAGUAACUGUUUUAGCCACCGGAGAAAACGAGGCAGUAUAAUCAGUGCCCAGAAGUUGAUUGUAUCCCUUUGCUACUCUAGCCUUGUAGCGCUCAACAGUACCAUCCGGAUUGUAUUUCACACGAUAGACCCAUUUGGAGUCAAUAGCUUUCUUGUGAGGAGGUAAUUCUGUAAGUUCCCA